GUGAACGCUGGCGGUAGGCCUAACACCUUCCCGUCGAACGGCAGCACAGUAAGAGCUUGCUCUUACGGGUGGCGAGUGGCGGACGGGUGAGGAAUACAUCGGAAUCUACUUUUUCGUGGGGGAUAACGUAGGGAAACUUACGCUAAUACCGCAUACGACCUACGGGUGAAAGCAGGGGAUCUUCGGACCUUGCGCGAUUGAAUGAGCCGAUGUCGGAUUAGCUAGUUGGCGGGGUAAAGGCCCACCAAGGCGACGAUCCGUAGCUGGUCUGAGAGGAUGAUAAGCCACACUGGAACUGAGACACGGUCCAGACUCCUACGGGAGGCAGCAGUGGGGAAUAUUGGACAAUGGGCGCAAGCCUGAUCCAGCCAUACCGCGUGGGUGAAGAAGGCCUUCGGGUUGUAAAGCCCUUUUGUUGGGAAAGAAAAGCAGCAGGUUAAUACCCCGCUGUUCUGACGGUACCCAAAGAAUAAGCACCGGCUAACUUCGUG
This 491-nucleotide ribosomal RNA is filed under the name uncultured bacterium. RNAcentral's name for it is "partial 16S ribosomal RNA". It matches the Rfam family "Bacterial small subunit ribosomal RNA", at positions 29 to 507 of the family's 1533-position model. The record is from RNAcentral.